This 414-nucleotide long non-coding RNA is filed under the name Corvus moneduloides (New Caledonian crow). RNAcentral's name for it is "lncRNA (ENSCMUG00000019745.1)". Lineage: Eukaryota; Metazoa; Chordata; Aves; Passeriformes; Corvidae. The record is from RNAcentral.
CUUUUCACAGGAAUAAACCAGUGUGGAGCACAUAUGGAGAAUCCUCUCUCUUUACUUCUUUACCUUCGCCUGCUUAACAGUGACAGAAGGAUACAGCCCCUUCUGGAUCAGGCUUGACCAGGAAAAGCAGCCUAGCCCAACUUGGUGGUUGCCUGCAGGGACAGGUGUUCCUUCUGCCUUUCCUCAACCCACAGAAACCAAGAUGAGCUUUUGCCAGGCAUCAUUCUGCAGAUCUUAAUUUUUUUGAAUGAAAGAAUAAUCUAUCAGCAGUUCAGCACAACACUUUAGGUGAGAUAUUGUCUAAAAUGGGAGGCUGAAAAUUUUUGGUUACUUUAACAUGAUGCUGCUCUUCACUGCUGUGGCACAGAAAAUAUUGAAAUGCUUUUCUUUUUCUAUUUUUUUUUUUUUUCUGGC